GUUGUGGUGCUUUUUUUUUGUUGUAUUUUUUAUUUCAUUUUUUGUAAAAUAUUUUGGUUUUUUUUUUUUUGAAAAAGUGCUUAAAAUUUGGUUUUUGAACUGGAUUAGUACCCAGGUAAACAAAAUUUAUUAAUUCGGGAGUAAAGUUUUUUUUAAACCGAAAAAAUAUUGACUGACUUCGGAUUUUUCUUUGGAACAUGUGUUUUUUGGAGAGUCCUCCCUUGUUGCUGGUUUUGUUGGCUCAUGUAUGAUUGUUUAGCUUUUAUUUUUUUUGUAAUGCUAUUUUUUGUUUUUAUUUAAAACAGAUAUAUAUUUGGUUUAUGAAUCAGUUAUCAUGUGUUACUAUUAUUAAUUUUUUUCGGAUUUAAUUUUUAUUUUUUUUUGAAGUUGGAAAAGAAAGUAAUUUUUUUUUUAUGUAUAAAGGAAUUUAAAAAACGGAGGGGUACAAACCACCCCCCCAAAAAA
This 465-nucleotide ribosomal RNA is filed under the name Setaria digitata. Its description in RNAcentral is "partial 12S ribosomal RNA". Lineage: Eukaryota; Metazoa; Nematoda; Chromadorea; Rhabditida; Setariidae. The record is from RNAcentral.